UCGGGAACUGUGAGACAGGUGCUGCAUGGCUGUCGUCAGCUCGUGUUGUGAAAUGUUGGGUUAAGUCCCGCAACGAGCGCAACCCUUAUCCUUUGUUGCCAGCGAUUAGGUCGGGAACUCAAAGGAGACUGCCAGUGAUAAACUGGAGGAAGGUGGGGAUGACGUCAAGUCAUCAUGGCCCUUACGACCAGGGCUACACACGUGCUACAAUGGCGCAUACAAAGAGAAGCGACCUCGCGAGAGCAAGCGGACCUCAUAAAGUGCGUCGUAGUCCGGAUUGGAGUCUGCAACUCGACUCCAUGAAGUCGGAAUCGCUAGUAAUCGUGGAUCAGAAUGCCACGGUGAAUACGUUCCCGGGCCUUGUACACACCGCCCGUCACACCAUGGGAGUGGGUUGCAAAAGAAGUAGGUAGCUUAACCUUCGGGAGGGCGCUUACCACUUUGUGAUUCAUGACUGGGGUGAAGUCGUAACAAGGUAACCGUAGGGGAACCUGCGGUUGGAUCACCUCCUUA
Molecule: ribosomal RNA, 513 nt
Filed under: Salmonella enterica
Lineage: Bacteria; Pseudomonadati; Pseudomonadota; Gammaproteobacteria; Enterobacterales; Enterobacteriaceae
Also listed under: 1 other name
Description: bacterial SSU rRNA
Rfam family: Bacterial small subunit ribosomal RNA
Source: RNAcentral